RNAcentral lists this ribosomal RNA (39 nucleotides) under Partenskyella glossopodia. RNAcentral's name for it is "partial 5.8S ribosomal RNA". The record is from RNAcentral. Lineage: Eukaryota; Cercozoa; Chlorarachniophyceae.
CUGCGAUGGAUCUCUUGGCGAAAGAAUCGAUGAAGAUGG